RNAcentral lists this ribosomal RNA (253 nucleotides) under uncultured bacterium. Its description in RNAcentral is "partial 16S ribosomal RNA". It matches the Rfam family "Bacterial small subunit ribosomal RNA", at positions 524 to 776 of the family's 1533-position model. The record is from RNAcentral.
UACAGAGGGUGCAAGCGUUGUUCGGAAUUAUUGGGCGUAAAGGGAGUGUAGGCGGCUUGUUAAGUCUUCUGUGAAAUCUACGGGCCCAGCCUGUAACGUGCAGAGGAAACUGGCGAGCUUGAGUGUCGGAGAGGAUAGGGGAAUACCCGGUGUAGAGGUGAAAUUCGUAGAGAUCGGGUGGAACACCAGUGGCGAAGGCGCCUAUCUGGCUGACAACUGACGCUGAGACUCGAAAGCAUGGGGAGCAAACAGG